This 243-nucleotide ribosomal RNA is filed under the name uncultured bacterium. RNAcentral describes it as "partial 16S ribosomal RNA". It matches the Rfam family "Bacterial small subunit ribosomal RNA", at positions 534 to 776 of the family's 1533-position model. The record is from RNAcentral.
GCGAACGUUAUUCGGAAUCACUGGGCUUACAGGGUGCUUUGGCGGCUUGUUAAGUCGGGUGUGAAAGCCCCCGGCUCAACCGGGGAAUGGCGCCCUAAACUGGCGAGCUAGAGUGAGAUAGGGGUGUGUGGAACUUCCGGUGGAGCGGUGAAAUGUGUUGAUAUCGGAAGGAACGCCGGUGGCGAAAGCGACACACUGGAUCUUGUCUGACGCUGAGGCACGAAAGCCAGGGGAGCGAGCGGG